Molecule: long non-coding RNA, 880 nt
Organism: Asterias rubens (European starfish)
Lineage: Eukaryota; Metazoa; Echinodermata; Asteroidea; Forcipulatida; Asteriidae
Exons: 3
Source: RefSeq, a predicted model, not a curated record
GAGUUCAGCGCAUGCCUUGACUGAAGGCUACAUUCUAGUGUGCAGUGGUGACUACAGCUAGAGCUGUUUGGAGCUGCAUAAGGUCAUCUGGAGGAGGCAGGUGUAGAAGCCAACAACACCAGACCUUGUGUGAAACCAUCCAGGGUGCAGGGAGUGCCUUGACUGAAGGCUACAUUCUAGUGUGCAGUGGUGACUACAACUUCAGCUGUUUGGAGCUGCAUUGGUAGAUCUUGAGGAUGCAGCUAUAGAAGUCAACAACAGCAGACAUUGUGUGAGAACCAUCCAGGGUGCAGGGAGUGCCUUGACUGAAGGCUACAUUCUAGUGUGCAGUGGUGACUACAAGUGGAGCUGUUUGGAGCUGCAUUAAUAGAUCUGGAGGAUGCAGGUGUAGAAGUCAACAAAGGCAGACCCUUGUUCAGCCAGAACAAUCAAAGUUGACAAAUUACACCUUUUUACAAAUUUGCCUUGACUCAAGCACCCAAAUGUAUUUGUAAAAAGCGUUGACGGACUUAGCUAUUCAAUUUGCCCUAUCAUUGAAGAACAAAGUAAUGCCUCAAAUGAAGCAGAUUUUAUUUUAGAUGAAUGCUCUCCCAUUUCAAGACGUUUUAUGUGUUUUUCUUGGCUCUCAAAUCUGCCAUUUUUGUAAGUUUAAACAGAAGUGAAAAUUGUUGUUAUCUCCCAUCAUGCAUGAAGGUCGACUAUCGCAUCAAGGUUGACCAUUAACUUUGAACUGCUCAUAACAUGACAGAUAUUCUGGAAGCAGUUGCUGAAUCAAUAUUUACUAAUCUGUUUGUGUUUCAGCAUUUAAAAAUGGCACCCUCUUUCCUGCAUGAAACAAUAGUUAUCAGUUGGUCUUGCAAUAAAUGAAAGACAAACGGUA